AUUGAACGCUGGCGGCAUGCCUUACACAUGCAAGUCGAACGGUAACAGGUCAAGCUGACGAGUGGCGAACGGGUGAGUAAUAUAUCGGAACGUGCCCAGUCGGUGGGGAUAACGUAGCGAAAGCUGCGCUAAUACCUCAUACGAUCUCUGGAUGAAAGCGGGGGCCUCGCAAGACCCUCGCGCGAUUGGAGCGGACAAUAUAGGAUUAGGUAGUUGGUGGGGUAAAAGCCCACAAAGCCGACGAUCUGUAGCUGGUCUGAGAGGACGACCAGCCACACUGGGACUGAGACACGGGCCAGACUCCUACGGGAGGCAGCAGUGGGGAAUUUUGGACAAUGGGCGAAAGCCUGAUCCAGCCAUGCCGCGUGCAGGACGAAGGCCUUCGGGUUGUAAACUGCUUUUGUACGGAACGAAACGGCUCUCUCUAAUACGGGGGGCUAAUGACGGUACCGUAAGAAUAAGCACCGGCUAACUACGUGCCAGCAGCCGCCGUAA
Molecule: ribosomal RNA, 495 nt
Filed under: uncultured bacterium
Lineage: Bacteria
Description: partial 16S ribosomal RNA
Rfam family: Bacterial small subunit ribosomal RNA
Source: RNAcentral